This 495-nucleotide ribosomal RNA is filed under the name Triticum aestivum (bread wheat). RNAcentral describes it as "partial small subunit ribosomal RNA". The record is from RNAcentral. Lineage: Eukaryota; Viridiplantae; Streptophyta; Magnoliopsida; Poales; Poaceae.
AUGGACCCUCAUGAGAUACUGAAUGUCCUAUUCCAUUAUGGUGGAUAAUUCAUCGGAAUUGGGCCUAAUAUUAGCUAUGUUGGAGGAGAUGAGGCAUUCUCAGAGAUAGAGAGGGACAAGUUGUCUCUGCAAGAAUUGAAAGGAUUUCUGAAGGAUCACACUGCAGUGAAAGAAUCAAUGAAAUUUUAUUUUUUGAUUCCUGGAAAAGAACUGGUUAAUGGUUUGAUGUUUCUUAGUGAUGACAGCAGUUGUGUGAGAAUUGCAGAGUACAUUCCUGCUGGUUCAGUAGCUGAUGUGUAUGUUGAGUAUCAUGGAGAAGAAGAGCAUAGUGAGCACAGUACCAGUUCCAGUGAUUUUGAGGAAGAAAUCAAUGCAGAGGAAGACAGUGAAGAAGAACCUGAUGCUAUCAUCACUGCUCCUGAAGAAGAACAAGUGGAUGUGCUCAUUACUGAUGAUGCUGGUGUUAUAAAAGAAGUAAUAAGAAGCCCAGUGAAG